Molecule: ribosomal RNA, 466 nt
Filed under: uncultured bacterium
Lineage: Bacteria
Description: partial 16S ribosomal RNA
Rfam family: Bacterial small subunit ribosomal RNA
Source: RNAcentral
GACGAACGCUGGCGGCGCGCCUAACACAUGCAAGUCGAACGAGCGAGAGAGAGCUUGCUUUCUCGAGCGAGUGGCGAACGGGUGAGUAACGCGUGAGGAACCUGCCUCAAAGAGGGGGACAACAGUUGGAAACGACUGCUAAUACCGCAUAAGCCCACGGGUCGGCAUCGACCAGAGGGAAAAGGAGCAAUCCGCUUUGAGAUGGCCUCGCGUCCGAUUAGCUAGUUGGUGAGGUAAUGGCCCACCAAGGCGACGAUCGGUAGCCGGACUGAGAGGUUGAACGGCCACAUUGGGACUGAGACACGGCCCAGACUCCUACGGGAAGCAGCAGUGGGGAAUAUUGCACAAUGGGGGAAACCCUGAUGCAGCGACGCCGCGUGGAGGAAGAAGGUCUUCGGAUUGUAAACUCCUGUUGUUGGGGAAGAUAAUGACGGUACCCAACAAGGAAGUGACGGCUAACUACGUG